This 339-nucleotide ribosomal RNA is filed under the name uncultured Pseudomonadota bacterium. RNAcentral's name for it is "bacterial SSU rRNA". It matches the Rfam family "Bacterial small subunit ribosomal RNA", at positions 29 to 351 of the family's 1533-position model. The record is from RNAcentral. Lineage: Bacteria; Pseudomonadati; Pseudomonadota.
AAUGAACGCUGGCGGCGUGCCUAACACAUGCAAGUCGCGCGAGAAAGCCCCUUUCGGGGGGUGAGUAAAGCGGCGCACGGGUGAGUAACGCGUGGGUAACCUGCCCAAGAGAGGGGUAUAACUCGCCGAAAGGCGGGCUAAUCCCGCAUACGUCCAGUGGACACAAGUCCAUUGGGGAAAGAUGGCCUCUGCUUGCAAGCUAUCGCUCUUGGAUGGGCCCGCGUUGGAUUAGCUAGUUGGUGAGGUAAUAGCUCACCAAGGCAACGAUCCAUAGCUGGUUUGAGAGGACGACCAGCCACACUGGAACUGAGACACGGUCCAGACUCCUACGGGUGGCAG